Molecule: long non-coding RNA, 791 nt
Organism: Ictalurus punctatus (channel catfish)
Lineage: Eukaryota; Metazoa; Chordata; Actinopteri; Siluriformes; Ictaluridae
Exons: 2
Source: RefSeq, a predicted model, not a curated record
AUAUAAACAUCUUUUAAAAUGAAUAAAUUAUGAUUAAAUUAUUGUGUUUUUCAUUGGGAAGAAUUAUAACAAAAUAUGAGGGAUGCACCGAAAUGAAAAUUCUUGGCCAAAGUCGAAACCGAAUAUAAUAAAACUUGGCCGAAAGCCAAAGGCUGAAAACCGAACACGUUCUUUCGUGUUUUUUCCAUAUAUUUUCCCAUUUUUUUCACCAUUGCAUAAAUUAAAUAGUCAAAAUGUGCUUUUUAUGAUUUUGUCUUGCUUUUCAAAGAAAAAAAAUCAAUUACAAAAACUACAAUUUCAAAAUAUUUAUUUAACACUUGUCGCGACGGGCAGAGAUCCGGCGCACACCAGAGGGAAAACGCUCCUUCUCCGACUGCCGCACCGGCACGACGUGGGCAGCUUCCUGCCGAACAUUCCGCCAGCUGGAAGGACCGCCGCGGCAGGGCGGGGCUGACGCGACUCCGGCCCGCGAUUGGCGGAUCCAACGGGGAAGUCCCACCACUCAGGCGACGACGGAGGAGGAUAAAAGAGCGCGCUUCCGGCCGGGAAGGGGAAGAGAAUAUCGUGGCGUCAAAACGGACUCCGAGUCGUAAGCGCGGACGAGACCGCCGGAUAGUGAGAGUCGCACACACGGAGGACGCCGGCCCGGGAAAACCCCCGCCCCGCCUCGGGAAUCCCGCCUCCGCCACGAGUCGACUCCGCCGGCCGUCACGCCUUCACAAACCCCCGCACUCUUCCAUUUAUCACACGUUCACCUCACCCUAGCCACAAUAAAGCACCGUCUGCAACCA